GACAGCCCCGUACACAAAAGCGCAUGUGCUGUGAGCUCGAUGAGUAGGGCGGGACACGUGAUAUCCUGUCUGAAUAUGGGGGGACCAUCCUCCAAGGCUAAAUACUCCUGACUGACCGAUAGUGAACCAGUACCGUGAGGGAAAGGCGAAAAGAACCCCGGCGAGGGGAGUGAAAAAGAACCUGAAACCGUGUACGUACAAGCAGUGGGAGCACCCUUCGGGGUGUGACUGCGUACCUUUUGUAUAAUGGGUCAGCGACUUAUAUUCUGUAGCAAGGUUAACCGAAUAGGGGAGCCGGAGGGAAACCGAGUCUUAACCGGGCGUUAAGUUGCAGGGUAUAGACCCGAAACCCGGUGAUCUAGCCAUGGGCAGGUUGAAGGUUGGGUAACACUAACUGGAGGACCGAACCGACUAAUGUUGAAAAAUUAGCGGAUGACCUGUGGCUGGGGGUGAAAGGCCAAUCAAACCGGGAGAUAGCUGGUUCUCCCCGAAAGCUAUUUAGGUAGCGCCUCGUGAAUUCAUCUCCGGGGGUAGAGCACUGUUUCGGCUAGGGGGCCAUCCCGGCUUACCAACCCGAUGCAAACUGCGAAUACCGGAGAAUGUUAUCACGGGAGACACACGGCGGGUGCUAACGUCCGUCGUGAAGAGGGAAACAACCCAGACCGCCAGCUAAGGUCCCAAAGUCAUGGUUAAGUGGGAAACGAUGUGGGAAGGCCCAGACAGCCAGGAUGUUGGCUUAGAAGCAGCCAUCAUUUAAAGAAAGCGUAAUAGCUCACUGGUCGAGUCGGCCUGCGCGGAAGAUGUAACGGGGCUAAACCAU
Molecule: ribosomal RNA, 820 nt
Filed under: Salmonella enterica
Lineage: Bacteria; Pseudomonadati; Pseudomonadota; Gammaproteobacteria; Enterobacterales; Enterobacteriaceae
Description: partial 23S ribosomal RNA
Rfam family: Bacterial large subunit ribosomal RNA
Source: RNAcentral